This 439-nucleotide ribosomal RNA is filed under the name uncultured bacterium. Its description in RNAcentral is "partial 16S ribosomal RNA". It matches the Rfam family "Bacterial small subunit ribosomal RNA", at positions 339 to 795 of the family's 1533-position model. The record is from RNAcentral.
CUACGGGUCGCUGCAGUGGGGAAUCUUGGACAAUGGGCGCAAGCCUGAUCCAGCCAUGCCGCGUGAGUGAUGAAGGUUGGAGGGUAGUAAAGCUCUUUCGCCAGAGAUGAUAAUGACAGUAUCUGGUAAAGAGACCCCGGCUAACUCCGUGCCAGCAGCCGCGGUAAUACGGAGGGGGUUAGCGUUGUUCGGAAUUACUGGGCGUAAAGCGCGCGUAGGCGGACUAGUCAGUCAGGGGUGAAAUCCCGGGGCUCAACCCCGGAACUGCCUUUGAUACUGCUAGUCUAGAGUUCGAGAGAGGUGAGUGGAAUUCCGAGUGUAGAGGUGAAAUUCGUAGAUAUUCGGAGGAACACCAGUGGCGAAGGCGGCUCACUGGCUCGAUACUGACGCUGAGGUGCGAAAGUGUGGGGAGCAAACAGGAUUAGAUACCCCAGUAGUC